GACCGCUCAACAUAUAAACAGUAUUGGUGUGUGCGACAUGAUCGCGGACCCGAAGGAAAAAAUCGUUUUGGACGGGGGUUCGAUUCCCCCCACCUCCACCACAUGUCGGAGCCUCCCGGAUGCGCCUACAUCUGAAGGGGGUGAACAGGUUUCGACAGGGCGACCAGUAACCGGAGAUACACCACGUCAGGCGUCUGACGCAAAUAGCGCAAAUCCAUAAUUGCAAAUCAACCGCAAUAUAUUGCUUACGGAACUUAAGAACCGAUAAGCCGAGGAACCGGCCCCUUCGAAAGAAGGCUUGGGAACAGAACGGCCGGACCAACUCUGUCG
RNAcentral lists this transfer-messenger RNA (330 nucleotides) under Herbaspirillum sp. GW821-FHT10B07. The stretch from base 39 to 258 matches the Rfam family "permuted transfer-messenger RNA". From Rfam's summary of the family: Bacterial tmRNA, also known as 10Sa RNA or SsrA, is named for its dual tRNA and mRNA-like properties. Its role is to liberate the mRNA from a stalled ribosome. Lineage: Bacteria; Pseudomonadati; Pseudomonadota; Betaproteobacteria; Burkholderiales; Oxalobacteraceae. The record is from RNAcentral.